CCGUACUUAAUAAAUUGUGCCACUUUGCCCAUUUUUGCCGGUUUUCAGGUCAAAAUGACCUGUUCUCAACCCAUGUGCGUUGCACAUGACAAAUCCAAGGGUAUUGACGUAUUUUCCAUUUUAAAAAUGGAAUAAAUAUUUUUUUUUUGAAAUGGAAUAAAAGUAAAAUAGAAUAAUUAAAAAAUAAAUAAAAAAAAUCUUCAUCUUGUUCCUUCAUCUUGUUCCCAGCAGCGAGCCCUGAAUUUUGAGAACCCACAGUCCGAAAACUUCGAACAAACCACCUACAUAAGUACUUUUCCGCCUUUGCAAUUCCAAGGAAGAUGCUGCUGCCGCACCAAUCUCACCACCCACUGCCCACCGGUGCACACCUCCGCCGCGCCAUGGGGUGGCCUCAAUUGUGAGAAGAUCAUCUAAUCCACCAUUCAUUGGAAGAAGAUCUAGUUGAUUCGGAGGAAGAAAUCGAGAGAAAAUAGUGUUCAUAUAACCCAAUUUCCGUAAAUACGAUUUUUGAAUCUGCUUCCUGGUGAUUGCUUCGACAUUUCGGAUUUCUGACAUUUGAAAUAUAACAAAUCUAGAUUCAAAACAUAACACCCAGUGAUAACAAAUCGGUUAACAAUUAGCAUUUCAAAACAAAUCUAGAUUCAAGCUUUAACAUUCAAGUUCUAAAUUAGCGAAACCCAGUCUACAUCACACAAACCCCGACCUAAAUCGAACAUGAACACACCAAAUUCGGCCAGAAUUGUGCCUAAAUCGCCAAAAAAACAACGCUACCUAGUCGAAAUCGCGAGCAAUUCACAUCAAAUCGAGCUUGAAUCACCCCAAAAUUGCGAUAGUAUGUAUUGAACAAAAUCGUGAUUUGGUAAGUAAUGUUCGAAUAGUUGUGGGAUUUUUCUCGAAGAAAUUGAAAAACAUGAAAGAGGGCCAAC
This 926-nucleotide long non-coding RNA is filed under the name Erythranthe guttata (spotted monkey flower). Its description in RNAcentral is "long non-coding RNA (EGUT_LNC003141)". Lineage: Eukaryota; Viridiplantae; Streptophyta; Magnoliopsida; Lamiales; Phrymaceae. The record is from RNAcentral.